GGGUGGAUCAGUGGUUCGAGGUCGACUUUUGAAGCAAGAGGUUGGCCGUUCGAAUCCCGCCCAA
RNAcentral lists this transfer RNA (64 nucleotides) under Heterosigma akashiwo. Lineage: Eukaryota; Raphidophyceae; Chattonellales; Chattonellaceae. The record is from RNAcentral.